RNAcentral lists this ribosomal RNA (497 nucleotides) under uncultured bacterium. Its description in RNAcentral is "partial 16S ribosomal RNA". It matches the Rfam family "Bacterial small subunit ribosomal RNA", at positions 28 to 507 of the family's 1533-position model. The record is from RNAcentral.
GAUGAACGCUGGCGGCGUGCCUAAUACAUGCAAGUCGAGCGAACGGACGAGAAGCUUGCUUCUCUGAUGUUAGCGGCGGACGGGUGAGUAACACGUGGAUAACCUACCUAUAAUACUGGGAUAACUUCGGGAAACCGUAGCUAAUACCGUAUAAUAUUUUGAACCGCAUGGUUCAAAAGUGAAAGACGGUCUUGCUGUCACUUAUAGAUGGAUCCGCGCUGCAUUAUCUAGUUGGUAAGGUAACGGCUUACCAAGGCAACGAUGCGUGGCCGACCGCAGAGGGUGAUCGGCCACAUGGGAACUGGGACACGGUCCAGGCGCCUACGGGAGGCAGCAGUAGGGAAUCUUCGGCAAUGGGCGAAAGCCUGGCGGAGCAACGCCGCGUGAGAGGUGAAGGUCUUCGGAUCGUAAAAAUCUGUUAUUAGGGAAGAACAUAUGUGUAAGUAACUGUGGAGAGCUUGACGGUACCUAAUCAGAAAGCCACGGCUAACUACGUG